GGAGGCGAAAGGGGACUGGUGUCCCUCCCGGUCUUCAAAACCGGUGCGCCGGCUAAUCCCGGUGGGCGGGUUCGAUUCCCGUCCGCCUCCGCUCCA
This 96-nucleotide transfer RNA is filed under the name Actinomycetota bacterium. RNAcentral describes it as "tRNA-Sec". It matches the Rfam family "Selenocysteine transfer RNA". The record is from RNAcentral. Lineage: Bacteria; Bacillati; Actinomycetota.